Molecule: RNA transcript, 4767 nt
Organism: Coffea eugenioides
Lineage: Eukaryota; Viridiplantae; Streptophyta; Magnoliopsida; Gentianales; Rubiaceae
Gene name: phospholipase A I
Exons: 19
Source: RefSeq, a predicted model, not a curated record
ACACAUUUUGUCUCUCUUCUUCUCUCUCCACACUCAUGAGAGAGUAACGAUUUCUCUAAAACCCUAUAAAAAGUUUACAGAAAAAUGAUAUGUCAAUCACCAUUUUCGUUCAAAUUUAAUCAGAUCGAAUUUGUCCAAUAAAAUUUGAUGACCAACAGAAAACAAAGGAAAUCCAAAUUCAACAAUGUCGUGGGGGUUGGGGUGGAAACGUCCAUCGGAUACUUUCCAUGUCACCUUAAGCUACGGCGCCGAUGACGCAGUGGAUGACGCCAGCCCAAGGUCAUCACGAUCGUCGUCGUCGUCGGCCGCCGGCGUGGGUGGGUCCCCGUCAUUCACGUCGUCCCUUGCAAUGCUUUCACAGGAAAAUAAUCAUGAGCAAUUCGGGUUUCGAAUUGACCUCGACUGGACUGCCGGCGAGGAUGAGGAUCAGGUCGCUCUCCGGCUCCAGUCGCAGGUCAUGGUCGCGCUGCCGUCGCCGCAGGACACUGUCGAAGUUGAAAUGAAGGAGAAGGAGAAGAGUCCUAGAAAUUUGGAAAAUGGCGGCGAGAUUGUUGAAAGUGGGGAGGGUAGUGUGGCCAGCGGCGAGGUUGGGGAGGAUUUUGGGGGAGAGGUGGGAGUGGAGAUGAGGGUGGUGAAGAGGAGGGAGCCGUUGAAGGGGGUUGUAAUGUGGAGAGUUGGGGGAUCGGGCCAGCAGAGUGAUGGGAUGGGAGUUUUUGUGAGGUUGAUGAGGUCAAAUUUUGCGAAUGGGGUUGGAGGUGGAGGUGCGGCUGCGGAGGGGGCUGGAGCAGGGCCCGGAGCUGGGGUUGGGGCUGUCGUAGGGUGUGCUGAGCAUUGGAAGAGUGUCACUUUGGUCAGUCUCUGUGGUCUGGGAUUAUCAGUCUUGCCUGUGGAGGUAACCCAACUGCCACUACUUGAGAAGCUAUAUCUUGAUAACAACAAGCUAUUAACUUUGCCACCUGAGCUUGGUGGGCUAAAAAACUUGAAAGUUCUUGCAGUUGACUACAACCUGCUGGCCUCUGUUCCUGCUGAACUAAGGCAAUGUGAUGGAUUACUUGAAUUGUCUCUGGAACACAACAAAUUGGUCCGGCCUCUUCUUGAUUUCAGGUCUAUGGCUGAGUUGCGGGUUCUAAGGCUAUUUGGAAAUCCACUGGAGUUCCUCCCUGAUAUCUUACCAUUGCAUAAACUUCGUCAUUUGUCUCUUGCAAAUAUCAGGAUUGUUGCAGAUGACAAUCUUAGAUCAUUGAAUGUGCAGAUAGAGAUGGAGAACAGUUCUUACUUUGUUGCAUCUCGGCAUAAGCUGAGUGCCUUCUUUUCUCUCAUAUUCCGGUUUUCUUCUUGUCAUCACCCUUUGCUUGCAUCUGCUCUGGCAAAGAUAAUGCAAGAUGAGGGAAAUCGGGUUGUCGUUGGGAAAGAUGAGAAUGCAGUGCGGCAGCUCAUAAGUAUGAUAAGUAGCGACAAUCAACACGUGGUUGAGCAAGCUUGUUCUGCUCUUUCAUCUCUUGCUUCAGAUGUUUCUGUGGCAAUGCAGUUGAUAAAGACUGACAUCAUGCAACCAAUUGAAGGAGUGCUGAAAUCUGCCAGUCAAGAGGAAGUAAUAUCUGUGCUGCAAGUUGUGGUUAAGUUGGCUUUUACGUCUGAUAUUGUGGCUCAGAAAAUGUUGACUAAGGAUAUACUAAAAUCUUUGAAAUUAUUAUGCGCCCAUAGAAAUACGGAGGUACAAACAUUAGCUUUAUUGGCAGUGGGAAAUUUAGCUUUCUGCUUGGAGAAUCGGCAUACACUCGUUACUUCAGAAAGUUUGAGGGAUCUUCUUGUACGACUGACAGUUGCAUCCGAGCCACGUGUGAAUAAAGCUGCAGCUCGUGCUUUGGCUAUACUUGGCGAAAAUGAGGUUCUGCGGCGUGCUAUUAGAGGCCGGCAAGUCCCAAAGCGUGGGCUGCGUAUCCUUUCCAUGGAUGGUGGUGGCAUGAAAGGUCUGGCAACUGUCAGGAUGCUCAAGGAAAUUGAAAAGGGCACUGGGAAACAGAUACAUGAGCUGUUUGACCUUAUUUGUGGUACAUCAACGGGUGGCAUGCUUGCAGUUGCUCUUGCAAUUAAAUUGAUGUCCUUGGAAAGAUGUGAAGAGAUAUACAAAGACCUAGGGAAACUUGUUUUUGCUGAACCUGUUCCGAAGGACAAUGAAGCAGCAAGUUGGAGAGAAAAAUUGGAUCAACUUUACAAAAGCUCAUCUCAGAGUUUCAGAGUUGUUGUGCACGGAUCCAAACACAGUGCAGAUCAGUUUGAGCGAUUAUUGAAGGAGAUGUGUGCUGAUGAGGAUGGAGAUCUUCUGAUAGAAUCAGCUGUUAAACGGGUUCCCAAAGUAUUUGUGGUAUCAACUCUUGUCAGUGUUGCACCAGCUCAGCCUUUCAUAUUCCGCAAUUACCAGUACCCUGCUGGGACUCCAGAGAUUUCCUCCGCAAUUUCUGAGAACUUGACAACAGGUGGCCUUGGAGCAGCAACAUCUGGAGCCCAAGUUGGAUCCAAGAGGAACGCCUUUCUUGGAAGUUGUAAGCACCAUGUAUGGCAAGCUAUAAGAGCAUCUUCUGCUGCACCAUAUUACCUUGAUGAUUUCUCUGAUGGUGCUUACCGUUGGCAGGAUGGAGCUAUUGUUGCAAAUAAUCCUACUAUUUUUGCCGUACGAGAAGCACAAUUAUUAUGGCCAGAUGCUAGAAUUGAUUGCUUAGUGUCAAUUGGAUGUUGUUCUGUCCCUACCAAGGUUCGGAAAGGAGGAUGGCGUUAUUUGGAUACUGGUCAGGUGUUGAUUGAAAGUGCAUGCUCAGUUGAUCGUGUGGAGGAAGCUUUAAGCACGUUGCUCACUAUGCUUCCUGACAUACAAUAUUUUCGCUUCAAUCCAGUCGAUGAGCGUUGUGAGAUGGAGCUAGAUGAGACUGAUCCAACCGUUUGGUUAAGAUUGGAGGCUGCCACAGAUGAUUACAUCAAGAAGAACUCUAUGUCAUUUAGAACUGUAUGUGAGAGUUUGCUGGAGAAUUCACAUGAUGAAAAAUUUCCAGAUAGUCUAAAGUCUCAGCAGUUUGUUAGAGCGAAAGGUUUAAAAUCUGUGCUAGAUGACAACAGCCCCUCUAUAGGCUGGAGACGAGCCGUGCUUCUUGUUGAGGCUUCUAACAGUCCAGAUUCUGGAAGAGUUUUUCAUCAUGCACGCUCACUUGAGACGUUUUGUGGUCGCUCUGGAAUAAAGCUAUCUCUAGUGAAUGAUAUAUCAGGCACCCUCAGAGCAACUGCAGGGUCUACAUUUCCAACACCAUUUACAUCACCUUUGUUUACUGGGAGCUUCCCAUCAAGCCCCCCGUUCUACAGUCCAGAUUUUGGGUAUCAGAGGGUUGGCCGGAUUGAUUUGGUUCCUCCUUUAAGCUUGGAUGGAUCCCAAUCUGCAAAAACAACCGCUUCACCGCCUGACUCUCCUGCCAGACGCAGGCAAUUGACUUUACCUGUCCUUUCACUGCAUGACAAACUAAGGAAUUCUCCUCAAGUUGGACUGUUACAUUUGGCUCUGCAAAAUGAUAUAUAUGGGUCCAUAUUAAGUUGGCAGAAUGAAGUGUUUGUGGUUGCUGAGCCAGGAGAACUAGCAGAAAAAUUUCUGCAGACUGUAAAAUAUAGCCUACUGGCAAUGUUUCGAGGACGACGUAGGAAGAAUGCAUCAAUUAUCACAGACAUUUCUACAAUUUCUGACCUGGUUUCGUGUAGGCCCUACUUCCAAAUUGGAGGUGUUGUUCAUCGAUAUAUUGGAAGACAAACACAAGUUAUGGAAGAUGAUCGAGAAAUUGCUGCAUAUAUGUUCCGUAGGACUGUUCCUUCUGUUCACUUAACUCCAGAAGAUGUUCGUCUGAUGGUUGGGGCUUGGAGGGAUAGGAUUAUAAUCUUCACUGGCAUCUACGGGCCUACCCAGGCUUUGAUCAAAUCACUUCUUGAUUCUGGUGCUAAAGCAGUCAUAUGCCCUUCUGCUGAACCUGAAGAAACACAGUUGGCAACAUUCCAGGGGUCUGGUGAAUUUAAUGCUGUAGAGAAUGGGAAGUUUGAGAUUGGAGAUGAAGAAGCAGAAGAUGAAGACAUGGAACCUGCCAGUCCAAUAAGUGACUGGGAAGACAGUGAACCUGAAAAAAAUGGAGCACCUUCACAUUAUUACUGGGACGAUGAUGAGGAGGAAUUGUCUCAGUUUGUCUGCCAGUUGUAUGACUCACUGUUUCAGAGUGGUUCAAGAGUAGAUGUAGCCUUACAAAAUGCUCUUGCCUUGCAUCGCAGCCUCAGAUAUUCAUGCCACCUUCCCAGUAUAAUGUGAUCCAGCCAUUUUAACUUUUUCUAACUAAAGAGGUGCAAGUUGAAUGGUCUUUGACAGCAUGCUCUUGCCUUGCCGAGUUUCCGGUACCUUGUGUAUUAUCUCACUUCUGCUGUUAAAUGGUGGACAAAUUGCACAAACUCACAUUGGUGUUUAGAGGAGUAUUGUACAAUUGAAACGUAAGCAGCCGAUUGUUAAUUUUGCAAAUUUGGAACAUAUAUAUGUACACCGUCAAUGUUUUCUUAGAUAGGAAUGCCUUUCUACCUGCCUCCGAUGAUCUGAUAGAUAGUCUAAUGUGUACAACUCCAAGCAAAUGAUGGAUUUGAAGAUGGAGCUGAUAUAUUUAGUGGUUUCUGACUUUUCAAUCAGCGAUAUGUACAGAGUAACCCGUACAACUUUCUUGUUAGAUACCACCAAUGUGCAAGCAUGCUUUUGUUCAA